AUUCCAUGGUGAGGACAAUCUGAUUUGUAUUCUUGAAAACGCUCCCAUGCUUCUUGAAUGGUUUUUGUCUUCUGCUGUU
Molecule: small nucleolar RNA, 79 nt
Filed under: Sorghum bicolor (sorghum)
Lineage: Eukaryota; Viridiplantae; Streptophyta; Magnoliopsida; Poales; Poaceae
Description: Plant small nucleolar RNA R71
Rfam family: Plant small nucleolar RNA R71
About the family: R71 is a member of the C/D box family of snoRNAs containing the C (UGAUGA) and D (CUGA) box motifs. Multiple nearly identical copies of this snoRNA have been identified in Arabidopsis, and it is thought to function as a 2'-O-ribose methylation guide for 18S ribosomal RNA.
Source: Rfam by way of RNAcentral